RNAcentral lists this long non-coding RNA (656 nucleotides) under Mus musculus (house mouse). Its description in RNAcentral is "RIKEN cDNA A930005G22 gene". The record is from RNAcentral. Lineage: Eukaryota; Metazoa; Chordata; Mammalia; Rodentia; Muridae.
GCGGAGGCGGCGGCGCUGGGACCCCCCUCCCCACUUCCCUCGGGGUUCCUGUGUGUCCGGGGGGUGAGCGAGCUCCCCUGAUUCCUGGUGCGGGCUCGGGCCUGGGGCGCGGCCGCACCCCUCACCCACAGCGGCGCGGGGGCCCAGCCGUGGGGAACGCCCUCCCGGGAUGAAGCGCUUCCCGGUGCGUUCAAGGAAAACAUAUAAUGCAAACAGCCAUAUAAUAAAUGACGACGUCUCAAUGCCAGGAUGUCCUGGGCCAUUACAAGUUGCCAAGCCCUGGGCUGACACCUGGACCACCAGCCCGUUCAUUCAACGCUGACAACUACUCCGGGAUGGGACCCUUAUUUUACAGACCAAGAGACACAAGCACCGAGGAGCAAAUGUACCCUUAUAGCUCUGGCUGGACAGUUGUGAUGGUUUACAUCUGUAGCGUCCGUCCUUUGGGGGCAGAGACAGGAGGAUUAUUAAUUUGAAGCCAGACUGGGUUACCUAGUGAGACCUCAUGUCAAACAACAACACACAAAUGUCAGAUUGACCGCAAGUGGGUGAGCUGAGGAUGUCAGACAUAUUCAUGAUGUCAUUAUUUCUAUCAUAAACCACUAUACCAUGUUACCCACCUCUUUAAAGAACACACAAUAAACCUAUUAAUUAUA